AUGAAUGAGAAGAGGAUGGGCCAUGAGUUUCGGAAUGACAGAGACACCCGAUGCUUUGAGCACCUAAAUUUGGUUAGGUUUAGUAGGCUUCUUGAGUAUAGUGGUGAUCGGUUGAUCAUUGUCGAUUACGUUUCCAAUGGCAACCUUCAAGAAACCUCGAAGAAGAAAGAUGCCUUGCAAAUAGAGUUGGAGCAAGGCCUACUGGAGUUCUUUUUUGAGAUGAAAUCUACUGGACUUAGCUUUGAUUUUGUAGAGGAAAAUAUUUAUUGA
RNAcentral lists this ribosomal RNA (270 nucleotides) under Triticum aestivum (bread wheat). RNAcentral's name for it is "partial small subunit ribosomal RNA". Lineage: Eukaryota; Viridiplantae; Streptophyta; Magnoliopsida; Poales; Poaceae. The record is from RNAcentral.